AUUACUACAAGCGACAAAUUUAUGAAUGACCCAACAAGAUGGAAAGUACGUUGCGCUCGAAAGCACGUCUAUGUAAACAUUUUCCACUCAAAAUUUCCAGACUUUUUCCCUUUUAAAUUUGAUAUUUUAUUACACAUAGUAUAUUUCUAAAGACUUUAAAAAUAAAUUACCGACGAUACGGUUAAAAAAUGUCUUAAGAUAACUGUACCUGUUGCGAGAAGUUUCUCUGUUAUCCUAUCUUUAGAGUGGGCGCGUAUGUUUGGACACGAAAACGUCACAACUGUUACGUAAUUAUCCUAAUCAUUUUAUAAAAUCUUCGAGAUUUUGCGGGGUGCUUCUGAUUUUUCAUAAUAUGAACAGCAACUCUUUGCCAACAGUUGGCAGAAUGUACACGCGGAGAUAAUUUGUUAGAAUUUGCAGUGCGCGAGUCGACCCAAAGAACAUGAGAGGUCGCAUGGACAGAAGCACAAACCCAAGUUAACAAGAGUAUUUUGACAUGUGUAGCAGUUUAACUUUCCAGGGGCACAGGUUACUGGCUUCAACUCCACAAGAACCGAAGGAAGGGGUGACAUCCCUGCUUCUUGUAUACUCCUAUCAGGAACUUGAGUUUCAGUUUUUGUACAGCAUUUGGAAAGGCUGGUAAUUGUAACUCAAACAUGAAAUUACAAAGAAAGACUAAACUCGAAAUCCAAGUUCUGGAGCGAAGAUGCUGCGACCUGUUUCAGCCUGCCAUCUUGAAGUGAGUCUCAGCACAAAUGCAAACUGGCAAAGUCGCUAUGUAGAAGCUAUGUUGUAGUGAGUUGGCUACUUUACCACGAUUUUACCCAGGGGCUUCCAUGAAAACCGGUUUUCGGCGGCCGUGUACGACGGACCACAAAUCAGACCUUUUAUCAAGUUCUGUUUAACCUGCAAGCACAGCGCAGGUUCUCGUGUUUCGCCCCAAGGCCUCCGGCUUUUCAUAACACAGUCACCUAUUACGCCAUCGGCAGCCGCUUACAGAAAAGGUUGUGGAAACCCUCCUUUUACUGUAAAACGGCCUGUGAAAGAUGGGCUUACUCCUCAACAAAAGAUGCCACGAGAUUAUGACUGCUGAAGAAUAUCUUUUCACGCCAAAUUACUGAUAACCUCACACAACUCAGUCUAGUUCCUUCCCAUAGAACUUAAGUUACGUACCACACUUUUCAUACGGAACAUGAACACUACCUGAUUACAUGUUAGGCUUAACAUGGAACUGAGUGAUGAGUGAGUUCAAGCCAGAUUCAUGACGACAAAGAGAAUUAACGGUACUUUUUACAAAGAAAAACGUCCGAUACAUCAUGUGGAGGCUUCAAGGAUAUAACAUCGUUUUUCUGCAGACAAAUACUUGUUAUAAGACUUGUUUCAUAUCUGGUUUUAGGUUUUUUUUCAUUCCCCAUUUAGCAUUAAAACUGACAUAUAGAAGAAUAAUAGUUAUCGAACAUGUAUCUAGGUAUGAUAAUCUUUGUCACAGUGUGUAUGUUAAUUGAGUUGCCUGUGAUGAAUUCUUGGAAGAUGGACUGAGAAGGAGGUGAGAUAAACUUUAUUUCAGUCGGUCAUGAUUUCAAUCGUUUGUUAACGUCUGAAGAUUCUUUCCUUUUUUAAGAUUGUGUUCUCUUGUUUAUAUAGCGCCAGUUUAAGUGCUUAUUUUCUCAGCCAGUUUCAGUCAAGUUUGUAUUCCAUUCAUUGCUGUAUAACACAUCAUUUUAGUCCUACAACUUAACACAAGAAGCAUCGCAUUGUUAUUCAUGGUAACCAACAAAGUAAAUAAAGAUUUAUUUGUUCUGUGAAAAAAACAGAGUGAAUUUCUUUGACUUUAAGUUCGAUAUAAUUUGUCAGUAAUUUUACUGUAACCAAAUCAGUUCUGGGCUAGCUAGUACCCCCUUGAAACUGAUGGUUUUGUAAAAUAAAAGUGAAAACUGGGAAAUCAUCGGUGAAAUUGUCUUGAUAAUCUCCUUCACAAACACACCUUACUAAGUGAACGGUAUAACUCUUCUUUAUCCUUACCAAUGGUGACUAAAAAUUCUUAUUUCUUCUUCCGAAGAUCUGAUUCGUAAUUCUCCUUUCUAACUGUCACAUAUUUCAGUGUCACGAUUAGUACAGAGAAUUAGGAAUUAUAUCUCG
Stylophora pistillata is the source of this 2139-nucleotide long non-coding RNA. NCBI's taxonomy places the organism in Eukaryota, Metazoa, Cnidaria, Anthozoa, Scleractinia, Pocilloporidae. The record is from RefSeq and is a predicted model, not a curated record.